This 565-nucleotide ribosomal RNA is filed under the name uncultured bacterium. Its description in RNAcentral is "bacterial SSU rRNA". It matches the Rfam family "Bacterial small subunit ribosomal RNA", at positions 359 to 917 of the family's 1533-position model. The record is from RNAcentral.
GGANUGCGAAUGCGCGAAAAGCGUGACGCAGCAACGCCGCGUGGGGGAAGAAGGCCUUCGGGUUGUAAACCCCUUUCAGGAGGGACGAAGCUUCGGGCGUUAAUAGCGUUUCGGAGUGACGGUACCUCCACAAGAAGCCCCGGCUAACUACGUGCCAGCAGCCGCGGUAAUACGUAGGGGGCAAGCGUUGUCCGGAAUCAUUGGGCGUAAAGAGCGCGUAGGCGGUCCGGUAAGUCCGCUCUGAAAGUCCGGGGCUCAACCCCGGGAGGCGGGCGGAUACUGCCGGGCUAGAGUCCGGAAGAGGCGAGUGGAAUUCCUGGUGUAGCGGUGAAAUGCGCAGAUAUCAGGAGGAACACCAAUGGCGAAGGCAGCUCGCUGGGACGGUACUGACGCUGAGGCGCGAAAGCGUGGGGAGCAAACAGGAUUAGAUACCCUGGUAGUCCACGCCGUAAACGAUGGGCACUAGGUGUGGGAGGUGUCGACUCCUCCCGUGCCGCAGCUAACGCAUUAAGUGCCCCGCCUGGGGAGUACGGCCGCAAGGCUAAAACUCAAAAGAAUUGACGGA